Molecule: small RNA, 107 nt
Filed under: Tursiops truncatus (common bottlenose dolphin)
Lineage: Eukaryota; Metazoa; Chordata; Mammalia; Artiodactyla; Delphinidae
Description: 7SK RNA (ENSTTRG00000024708.1)
Rfam family: 7SK RNA
About the family: 7SK was discovered as an abundant small nuclear RNA in the mid-70s but a possible function has only recently been suggested.
Source: RNAcentral
GGAUUUGAGGAUGAUCUGGCUGUGGCAUCUGUCAUCUCUGCGAUUGCCAGGGUUGAUUUGGCUGAGAGACCUGCGAGGCAGCUGCCCCCUUCCUCCCUCACUACUUC